AUUGAACGCUGGCGGCAGGCCUAACACAUGCAAGUCGAACGGUAACUGGAAGAAGCUUGCUUCUUUGCUGACGAGUGGCGGACGGGUGAGUAAUGUCUGGGAAACUGCCUGAUGGAGGGGGAUAACUACUGGAAACGGUAGCUAAUACCGCAUAACGUCGCAAGACCAAAGAGGGGGACCUUCGGGCCUCUUGCCAUCGGAUGUGCCCAGAUGGGAUUAGCUAGUAGGUGGGGUAACGGCUCACCUAGGCGACGAUCCCUAGCUGGUCUGAGAGGAUGACCAGCCACACUGGAACUGAGACACGGUCCAGACUCCUACGGGAGGCAGCAGUGGGGAAUAUUGCACAAUGGGCGCAAGCCUGAUGCAGCCAUGCCGCGUGUAUGAAGAAGGCCUUCGGGUUGUAAAGUACUUUCAGCGGGGAGGAAGGGAGUAAAGUUAAUACCUUUGCUCAUUGACGUUACCCGCAGAAGAAGCACCGGCUAACUCCGUG
This 490-nucleotide ribosomal RNA is filed under the name uncultured bacterium. RNAcentral's name for it is "partial 16S ribosomal RNA". It matches the Rfam family "Bacterial small subunit ribosomal RNA", at positions 30 to 507 of the family's 1533-position model. The record is from RNAcentral.